UGGGGAAUAUUGCACAAUGGGGGAAACCCUGAUGCAGCGACGCCGCGUGAACGAAGAAGGUAUUCGUAUCGUAAAGUUCUGUCCUAUGGGAAGAUAAUGACAGUACCAUAGAAGAAAGCUCCGGCUAAAUACGUGCCAGCAGCCGCGGUAAUACGUAUGGAGCGAGCGUUGUCCGGAAUUAUUGGGCGUAAAGGGUACGCAGGCGGUUUAAUAAGUCGAAUGUUAAAGAUCGGGGCUCAACCCCGUAAAGCAUUGGAAACUGAUAAACUUGAGGAGUGGAGAGGAAAGUGGAAUUUCUAGUGUAGUGGUGAAAUACGUAGAUAUUAGGAGGAAUACUAGUAGCGAAGGCGACUUUCUGGACAAAAACUGACGCUGAGGUACGAAAGCGUGGGGAGCAAACAGG
Molecule: ribosomal RNA, 403 nt
Filed under: bacterium
Lineage: Bacteria
Description: partial 16S ribosomal RNA
Rfam family: Bacterial small subunit ribosomal RNA
Source: RNAcentral